CCGGUGCUCCCUGCGGGCGCCCUGCAGCCUGGGCCAGGCGGGGUCAGCAGCCCCUCCCUCCACAGAGGCCCAGCUCCCCGGGGCGACACUCCUGGCCUCAGUUGCCCGAGAAUGGCCAAGCCCCCUGGAGCAUGAAGAACAACAGCUGUGGAAACAGCAACACGGAGGGGGACGGUCCCCAAGGAGCCGGGUCCUCACGCUGGCUCCCCGCGCCCGGGCCGCGUGGCCACGCAGUCCUCGCCUCUGCUGCGUGCGCUCCGACUUAUUUCAAGCUUUGACCUAAAUUUCAUACGUUGUUUCUGAAAGCAAAGGAUCCCCAAGCCGUGACCCAUCAGCCCGCAGGCCUCGGACCCCGGGCUCUCUGCACCUGCUGCUCCAGGGCCAGGGCCACCAACCUCCUGUGUCCACCCCGCGGGACUGCCCUGGCCACCGCUCUCCACCGCCUGUCACUCCCCUCCCCGGCCCCACGCUGCCUGCGGUUCCCUCUGCCACCGGAGGGCCUGUGUCACCAAGGUGGGGAUGCUGCCCCCCGCCCCCGUCGUCCCACUCGCCAGGACCAGGACCGGGACCAGCAGGGACAGGGCCCUGCCCCUUGCUUCCCCACCACUGCCCGCGGCACCACAGGCCGCCAGGAGGUGCUGCGUGUCCCAGCAGUCGGGCCGGGGCUCCCCAGCCUCCUGCACGCGCACACGCACACGUGGGGCUGGAAACGGGGGUGCGAGGGGACGACAGUCGGAUCCGUUGUUUCAAAAUUCAUGAAAACCAACCAAAAAAACAACAACAAAAAAAACAAAAAUUCAUGAAAACCUAUGCUCCUGAGGCAGCAGGCGGGCAUGGGGGGGCAGGCCCUGCGGUCAGGCGUCUGCCCACGGGGACACCCCCCCCCCCCCCCGCAGCAGCGCUCCCAGGCCCCGGCCGAGCUGGGCACCGCGUGUCGCAGCCCCACACUCCCCACUGGGUGUCGCCCAUCUCCGGUCCGGUCCGGAAGGAGAGUCCACGUGGUGGGGGUUGGGCCAGCCCGGGGGCGGGAGGGGCAGUGGGAUCCUUAGUUCCCCAUUUUACAAAUGAGGAAGCCGGUAGACCCAGG
Molecule: long non-coding RNA, 1087 nt
Filed under: Vulpes vulpes (red fox)
Lineage: Eukaryota; Metazoa; Chordata; Mammalia; Carnivora; Canidae
Description: lncRNA (ENSVVUG00000000791.1)
Source: RNAcentral